GAUGUCGGCUCAUCUCAUCCUAGGGCUGAAGCAGGUCCUAAGGGUAUGGCUGUUCGCCAUUUAAAGAGGUACGCGAGCUGGGUUUAGAACGUCGUGAGACAGUUCGGUCCCUAUCUACCGUGGGCGUUGGAAAUUUGAGAGGAUCUGCUCCUAGUACGAGAGGACCGGAGUGAACGAACCGCUGGUGUUCGGGUUGUCAUGCCAAUGGCAUUGCCCGGUAGCUACGUUCGGAACUGAUAAGCGCUGAAAGCAUCUAAGCGCGAAGCAGGCCUCGAGAUGAGUUCUCACUAGACUUUUAAAGUCUCUGAAGGGCCGUUGAAGACUACAACGUUGAUAGGCAAGAUGUGGAAGUGGUGUGAGCCAUUAAGCUAACUUGUACUAAUUACCCGUGAGGCUUAACCAU
Molecule: ribosomal RNA, 403 nt
Filed under: Salinibacterium sp. NSLL150
Lineage: Bacteria; Bacillati; Actinomycetota; Actinomycetes; Micrococcales; Microbacteriaceae
Description: partial 23S ribosomal RNA
Rfam family: Bacterial large subunit ribosomal RNA
Source: RNAcentral